CAGCAUGAUGUCCCGGAACUUGGAC
Molecule: non-coding RNA, 25 nt
Filed under: Drosophila melanogaster (fruit fly)
Lineage: Eukaryota; Metazoa; Arthropoda; Insecta; Diptera; Drosophilidae
Source: RNAcentral